Molecule: long non-coding RNA, 1924 nt
Filed under: Marmota monax (woodchuck)
Lineage: Eukaryota; Metazoa; Chordata; Mammalia; Rodentia; Sciuridae
Source: RNAcentral
AGUCCCCACAGCUGUCCUCACUUGGCGAUGGCUUCAUCCCGCUCCUGCAGGACCUGGUCCAGAGAAGGCUCUGUCUGGAUGGCCCCCAGUGCUCCAGCCGCUGGAGAUUCUGGGCUCUGUUGUAGGGGACAGAGGAGGGGACUGUGAUCUGGGGCUCCGCUAAAUGAGGUGUCCCACCCUGGAAUUUUCUGCCCUGGCCUUGACCCUGAUGCUGGUGUCAGGAGGGGAGGAAGCUGAGGUGCCCUGUACCGGCUUCAAGCACCCUGGCCUGUGGCUGCUGGGAAGUAGAGCACAGACCCGAGAGGGCGGCAGGUGACACUGCUGCUUGGUCUCAGGGCAGCAGAAUGGGCAGGGUGUUUGAGCCCCCAGAGACAGGAGUCCUCACCCCCUCCUCAGGAAAGGAGAAGGUAAGUGGGUUCAGGACACUUACCCCUUGAGAGCCCUGGACAGAAAGAGUGGCCGGGUGACGGGGACUCUUGUCGGCAGGGUGGGGCAAGGAAAGGACAUGGCCCUUGCCCUCCCUUCCAGGCAAGGCACUCCCUGGCAGGCGGGACCCAGUGGGCAGGCCCCAGCAGGCGGGCCCAGGACAAGGAGCAUAGGGCCCCUCCCUCCUGUCCUGCAUCCUGCCCAGUGGCCUGUGCCAGUGCCUUCCUGCCCAGUCACAGGCCUCCCUUCUACUGCCUCUUGUGAUGACAGGGUCAGCAAGAUGCUGCAGCCCCUCCCCACCCCCAUGAAGGGCCUGUCACCUUGAUACCUGGAAUGGCAUCGUCCCCACACAGCUCUGAUCUCACCUCACAGGAAAUAAGGAAAAAAGUUUAUUUGUGGCAGACUUCUCCAGACUAACAAUCCCUUGAUAUAUUGCUGAGGCUGACUGUGGAUUUGCGAUCCUCCUGCCUCGGCCUCCUGAGUCCAUGGGAUUUCAGAUAGCACCCAGCCCUCUAGACAACUUGACUGUCCCUCCUCCCUCCAUGGCAGGCAGCAACUGCAUUGCUACACUCUAGAGAGCAGGUCUCAGGACCCCAUAUCACCUACAGUGACAGUCUGUCUCCAUGGGCACAUUGAGUGACAAAACUCAUAAGGAGACUCAUCCCCACUGAGAGGCCUUUGCAGUAAGAUUGUGUCUUGGGGGUUGUGUUUCCAACUCAGCCUAAGCAGUAAAUGCUUCCUCUAAGACCCUCUGUGACUCCUGAUCUCUGGUCCUGCCCAGUGAGGGUUGCUUCAAUGGCCAGUCUCAGUGAUUUUUGUGACUGUACCCCAGGUCAAGAGGUGGGCUUGGCCUGUACCCUGAGUAUGGCUCUGCCAUGAGCAGACAGGCCCUGCUCCCAGGGUGCUCCAGGGCUAGGAAGGAUGAAGCUCAGGCACGGUGGUAAGAGGGUGGCAGUGGUCCCCAGGUGGGAGCACAGAGACGGCCCCUCAGACCCAUCAGCCACAGGGAUUCUUGAGGUGUUUGUCCAAGGUGAAUCUUGCAGGCUGUCUGUCAGAGCCAGGACAAGGGCUAACACUCGAUAACAUUUAAACUUUUUAUUUUGAAACAAUGUCAAAUUGCUGUUUGAUGUUAAAAAAAAAAGCUUUUGCAGUUAAAUAUUCUAUUAUGGUAUCAAACAUUAUGCCUGAUUGUACAUCUUGCUGGUCUCCCUCAAUCAAGAACAAUUUGCAGCCUUUGAGUUUCAUGACCUUGACAUUUUUGUAGUUUACAGGGAAGUUAUUUUGUAGAUAGUCCUUCAUUGGUCUUGCUCCGAUCCUCCCUCUGAUUGGACCACUGUUGUGCGUUUAAUGAAUGCUGCGUUCUAUCCAACGUCGACUGGAAACAUGACUGGGGGUGUUAAUGUGGGCCAGUUGAUUAAGAAGCAUAAAAAGGUGGCUCACGCCUGAAAUCCCAGUGGCUUGGAAAGUUGAGGCCGGAGGAUUGUGAGUUCAAAGCAAG